RNAcentral lists this signal recognition particle RNA (193 nucleotides) under Pseudomonas sp. URMO17WK12:I2. Its description in RNAcentral is "Bacterial large signal recognition particle RNA". The stretch from base 80 to 176 matches the Rfam family "Bacterial small signal recognition particle RNA". Rfam says of the family: The signal recognition particle (SRP) is a universally conserved ribonucleoprotein involved in the co-translational targeting of proteins to membranes. Archaeal SRP consists of a 7S RNA and homologues of the eukaryotic SRP19 and SRP54 proteins. The record is from RNAcentral. Lineage: Bacteria; Pseudomonadati; Pseudomonadota; Gammaproteobacteria; Pseudomonadales; Pseudomonadaceae.
CUUGAAGCGGUUGUAAGUUCGGCACAAGCCGGUACAAUGGCGCCGGCUCACUGCAUGGUGAGCUGCGUUAUGGUGGUCCUGCCGGUCCCCCCGCAACGAUUACCCGUGAACCUGGUCAGAUCCGGAAGGAAGCAGCCACAGCGGGAACAUUGUGUGCCGGGGUGUGGCUGGCAGGAUCGCCUCCAUCUCCAAG